ACUUCAAGAUGGCCGAGUCCAUCCAAAACUGGCGCUAGAAAUGGUUCUAUAUCAAGGACGAGAAUGCCGAGGAGCAGAAGUUUGGCUCAGCUCCCUUCGACCCGACGAAGCCAGUGAAGAAACUUAAGUCAUGGGACCAACCCCUGACAGAAGCUGAACUCGAAGAGACCGAGCCGCUGAUGGCUCAGAUUCACGCCCUGCAGACCGACGAUGGAAAAGAACUUUCGGGUCAACAAAUCAUGACACACUUCCUCCGGCUGGGGGUCCAGCCCAUCCAGGAGAGAGUUCACAGCAUGUGGAGUUACAUGGGAUCCAAGGACCCGACAAAAUUUCCAAGGAAGACCUAUCCACUGUUGAACUCUAGAAAAUAGCUCGACAGUUCACCAUGGCCACUGCUGCAGACGCCAUCCCUUCUUCUUGUCGAGUUACUCCAUUCGACAAGAAACAUCCGCCACCAGCUGGCCAUGUUUUCCUUUCUUCCCUUCCACCUCUUCCUGAGGCGGGGGAUGUACCCGAGGUUGCCGCGGACGCUGAGAGCGAAAUACCCGAAGCUGUCGCAGGUCAAGAUGGUGCUGAAUCUGAUGAGGAUGAGGCAUCCGAUUCACCUCGCACGGUAACAUCGAUUCCCCCUGCCAAUUCCCAGGAUGAAAAGACCAAGGGGAAAAGGAAGCGAACCGAUGAUGGGGACUCCGAAUCUUCAAACGCAUCCAAGCAACAGAUUACGCUUCAUAAUACUAUCCACAUGGACGAAGAGGAAGCUCCCGAGGACCCUGCUGAUGACCCGGCCAAAAAUCUGUCAGCUUCUAUCAAGAUUCCAUCCAAGACGCUGUGUUCACAGGAAGAAACCGUGAACUCAGAUGAAUUGGAAAGAGCCAAGGAUAGCCCCUGGGCGCCGCCCAAGGAGAAACUCAAAGAACACGAUGCUAACAAGGGCAUCAAGAUUUCCGAGAACCCGCCUAUGCCAUCGAUGGACGACCCGAUAGCCCGUGAGAUGAUGGACAUGGCCAUCAAACAUAUCAGGUUCCGGAACGAAGCCGAGAGUCUCAAGGUUUCCUUGAAGAAAUCUCAACACCGCGCUGACGAGCUUGAAGCCAAGCUUGAGGCCGCUAAAAAGGCACUCGAGGAGGCUCGUGCCAAGGCCACAACUGCAGAAGAGAAGCUAGCAGAAGAGAAGUCGAAGAUGGCUACCCACAAAGCGGAUAUUCGCCUGCGACUAGACACUCUAAAUGCCUCCUUCACUACAGAUAAAAUUGGGCACUCCUACGAGAUGCCCAAGAAUCAGAAAACAGAUCCUGCUGCUGGACUCUCUAACUGUGUUGGAGGCGAACAGUGUGCGGGUUCGCAACAUGCUAGUCCAUGCACACCGAGAUUUCAAGCGGCUUUUCAGGCAUUUCUUCCGUAGACAGAAGGAACCCGAAGAUCUCCUUGCCCUCGCCGACAUCUUCAAUGCCGUAGAGGAUCCGGCACUCAACUACCGCCGAGCAGCCAGGAAGACUGGUGUGGAGAUCUCGAUGCCAAUGGCGAUGGCACACGGCGAAGUUGUCGACUGGGACAAGGUUAGCUCCUCCCACGCAGUAUAUAAAGCUGGCCAGCUGACAUCGUUGGUGCCUUUCUUGAAGAAUGCUAAGAGAUUCUCCAAGAAGAUGAUUUCCUUGGUGCACCCGACGAGCACCCGGUCUGUUAGUGCUACCCCCACUGAGAUUGGGUUAACCCAGAACCUGCAUCUGGUCCUUCAUGGCAAGAAUCAAUGCCAGAGGAACCCAUUAUUUUCCGAGGCUACUGAUCCAACAAACCAAUCGAGUGACCCAUUUCCUGAUACGGAAGGAGCCCAUUACUUUGAAGAACCACAAAGCGAAAUUAAGGUUUUGAAGGACCAAAUUCUAGUUGCUCUAUCGAAAGUAAAAUGAGCCACCGAACGUGAAGAUUACUUGCUGGAACUGAUCUCGAUGGUGAGCGGUAACAUGCUUUGUGCUCAACUGAAUUCCAUUACUGAAGAAGAGCGAGUCAAAGCUCGUAUGAAUGCUCUCAUGGAAAUCUCCGCCGGGACAGGCAUCGACUUCUGGGCUGAUCGUCGGCGGUGCUUUACUAUAAUUCAGCUCCAAGAUCGAGUAUCUCAAGUCAACGAAUUCGUCGAGCACUGCCGAUCUGCUCUGGCGAUGGUUUACAGCACCAUGUUCCCUCAGAAUCCUGCACCCCAAGAUUUUGCUGAGUUGAUGGGAAAGUUCAGGCGUGCCGCAGAUAUUCAUAACUUUGUGAGAAUUCAACUAGUUGAUGGAGCUAAGCUUGCUCUUGCUUGGGUGCGCGUUCAUAAGCCAACGCUUGACAUUGAUGCAAUUUCCCGCGGUUUUCCUGCUCGACGAAGUAACAAGGGGGUACGCAUGACUCACCAUUAUGACGCUGCUCACGAACCAGCGAUCGGGAUGAUCCAGCGACUUCUGGAUGCGGACUCGGAAUUCUUUACAGAAUUCCAUUACGCAGAUCCUGUAUAGAACCCUGUAGGAGAAUAUGUAACAUAUGUAAAGUAUAUGAAAUUCAAUAUGUUGUAUCGUAAAAUUUAUUGCAAGAUCUUUGCUUGAGAACUCAAAUAUAUAUUUAUUUUUCAUGA
Molecule: RNA transcript, 2605 nt
Organism: Lolium perenne
Lineage: Eukaryota; Viridiplantae; Streptophyta; Magnoliopsida; Poales; Poaceae
Source: RefSeq, a predicted model, not a curated record